UGACAGGUGCUGCAUGGCUGUCGUCAGCUCGUGUCGUGAGAUGUUCGGUUAAGUCCCGCAACGAGCGCAACCCUUAUCUUUAGUUACCAUCAUUAAGUUGGGGACUCUAAAGAUACUGCCCCGGUUAACGGGGAGGAAGGUGGGGAUGACGUCAAGUCCUCAUGGCCUUUAUGUCCAGGGCUACACACGUGCUACAAUGGGUUGUACAAAGGGUUGCGAACUCGCGAGAGUAAGCCCAAAUCCCAAAAAGCAACUCUUAGUUCGGAUUGGAGUCUGCAACUCGACUCCAUGAAGCUGGAAUCGCUAGUAAUCGUGGAUCAGCAUGCCACGGUGAAUACGUUCCCGGGCCUU
RNAcentral lists this ribosomal RNA (351 nucleotides) under uncultured Desulfobacteraceae bacterium. RNAcentral's name for it is "bacterial SSU rRNA". It matches the Rfam family "Bacterial small subunit ribosomal RNA", at positions 1032 to 1382 of the family's 1533-position model. Lineage: Bacteria; Pseudomonadati; Thermodesulfobacteriota; Desulfobacteria; Desulfobacterales; Desulfobacteraceae. The record is from RNAcentral.